CUCUCUCUCUCUCGUUUCUGUUUCAGCUUCCUUUCUAUGUCGUUGCAGACCCAAAUCCAGGAGCUCUUUGUUCUCUCAUUCUCUCUCUGCCAAUCACGCGCAAGCAGCCUAACUGUAGGGGAAAAUUUUUUCAGGGGAGCAGCGACAUGAAAUGGUGGGAAGAGUACAAGAAAAUUAUCCGAAAAGGCUGAUGACGAUCUAGCAGCAGCAGCUGCUGAGGCUGCUGAUGGAAGACCAGUGUAUUGCAGAGAUAGGUUUUAUCGUGCAUUAGCAGGUGGACAGUACUGCAAAUGGGAGGAUCUAGUCAAAUAAAGGGAAAGAAGGAGGCACAAAUCAUAAUAAAUUUUAAUAUUAUCAUUCUGCCCUGUUAUUUCUAUUUACAAGAUGUUAACACUUAAAGUUUUAUCCCA
This is a long non-coding RNA of Alnus glutinosa, 410 nucleotides long. RefSeq lists it as uncharacterized. Lineage: Eukaryota; Viridiplantae; Streptophyta; Magnoliopsida; Fagales; Betulaceae. The record is from RefSeq and is a predicted model, not a curated record. The transcript is spliced from 2 exons.